Molecule: long non-coding RNA, 1365 nt
Organism: Hylaeus volcanicus
Lineage: Eukaryota; Metazoa; Arthropoda; Insecta; Hymenoptera; Colletidae
Exons: 3
Source: RefSeq, a predicted model, not a curated record
UUAGUAACAGGAAUUUAAUCGGCAGCUCAUCGUUUCGACGUACGGAAUUACGUGAAUCCCGAACGACGCCGGCUACCAGGACGUCGGCGUCGGGAGCUUUACGCUGCCACGUGGCCCGUUCGUUAAGGUAACCCGCGGUUGUAAUUAACUCGCGAAGACAGGAAUUCAUGCUUCUGUGCCGCCGCGAUACGAUUUUUGCGAUAUCGGAGGAUUCUAACUGUACCUCGCCACGGAGAGCUCGUAAAUCGAAGGACGUUUCAGCGACCCUUUAUAGCAUCUCCUGAGAGUGUUUCUCCGAGGAGCUUGGAAACUUGGAGGGUUUCAUGGUACUUGAGUUUUUUCCUUAGGCACGCUAUCGAAGAUAGGGAUUUCAACAUUUAUAUACAUGUUGAUGCAGGUUUUGUUGACGUGUAGAAAUUUCUGUAUAAGCGCCAGAUCAAGGAGAGUUCCUGGAAUUGAAUUCUGCCAAUGGAAAAAAUAAGUUUCUACUGAAAAAUCAGCAACAGAGCCAAUUGUUUUGAUAAACUUCCAAGACUUUAUUUUCCCUGCAUACCGGGACCGUUACCCUACUGGUGCUUUUACCUAAUAUUAAUUUCGCUGGAGGUGCCCAGGCGCGGUAAUUUUCAAAUUACAAGUUGCGAGGCUGCAGGCUCCGCGCGGCUCUCGAACAUUGUCUAAAUAAUAGUCUAAUGGACAAGGUAUUCCGGAGCCAGCGAGGCCAGAGCGAGAGGCUUCCAGGACUCGCACCUCGUGGUUGCGCUUGCAACGAUAGUCUAUAUUCCCUUACGACUGGUUUCAUUCCCCUUUAAAGUGUUUUAGUGGCUCUGGAAGUGGGUGCCCAGGCCGUUUUCUUCAACAAACUGCCUCGUCUCUACGGUGCUGGGGCUUCACAGCCAGGGAACGGUCGUUGCUAACCCGGUUCUUGAAGAUUCAUCCCGCCGUGUCUCGUGCCGACGUGCCGGCUCUUAUGGUUCCUGAAUCUAUUUACGCAUGAAACUCGAGCGUCGCCGGAAGUGUUUGGUAUCAGAGACAAAAAACGAAAGAGUGUCCAUCGUGAAACGAGGAAUAUCGUAACAGUAAGGGGAUGUCGCAACCAUAUUCUGUAGUUACACUUUUCUAAUUCCGAAGAAGGAAGCUUUAUGUCAUGAUUAGUCGAGGUGAUGUCUUUGUGAAUCUCCUGGGAGCUCUUCGUGGAGGAAAAGAAUCUUGUAAGAAUUCUCGAAUAACUAGGCUCUUCGUCAUCGAAGCCGUCCUUGUCGCUGGUGGAGCAAAUAAUCAUGAUCGAUUCUCUCGAUUCUCUUGCAAAGUUAAAGGCAUUCCAAACGAAAAGAAACAUCGUAUCUAGUAGAUGUCACGAUAGUUAUC